CCUACGGGUGGCUGCAGUAGGGAAUCUUUCACAAUGGGCGAAAGCCUGAUGGAGCAACGCCGCGUGCAGGAUGAAGGCCUUCGGGUUGUAAACUGCUUUUAUAAGCGAGAAAUAUGAUGGUAACUUAUGAAUAAGGAUCGGCUAACUACGUGCCAGCAGCCGCGGUCAUACGUAGGAGCCGAGCAUUAUCCGGAGUGACUGGGUGUAAAGAGUUGGGUAGGGGGCAUAAUAAGUAGCUAGUGAAAUCUGGUGGCGCAACCAUUCAGACUAUUAGCUAUACUGUUAAGCUCGAGACCGUUAGGGGUAAGUGGAAUUUCUAGUGUAGGAGUGAAAUGCGUAGAUAUUAGGAAGAACACCAAUAGCGUAGGCAGGUUACUGGGACGGUUCUGACGCUGAGGCACGAAAGCGUAGGGAGCAAACAGGAUUAGAUACCCCUGUAGUC
This 442-nucleotide ribosomal RNA is filed under the name uncultured bacterium. RNAcentral's name for it is "partial 16S ribosomal RNA". It matches the Rfam family "Bacterial small subunit ribosomal RNA", at positions 338 to 795 of the family's 1533-position model. The record is from RNAcentral.